RNAcentral lists this ribosomal RNA (468 nucleotides) under uncultured bacterium. RNAcentral's name for it is "partial 16S ribosomal RNA". It matches the Rfam family "Bacterial small subunit ribosomal RNA", at positions 28 to 507 of the family's 1533-position model. The record is from RNAcentral.
GACGAACGCUGGCGGCGUGCUUAACACAUGCAAGUCGAACGGAAAGGCCCUGCUUUUGUGGGGUGCUCGAGUGGCGAACGGGUGAGUAACACGUGAGUAACCUGCCCUUGACUUUGGGAUAACUUCAGGAAACUGGGGCUAAUACCGGAUAGGAGCUCCUGCUGCAUGGUGGGGGUUGGAAAGUUUCGGCGGUUGGGGAUGGACUCGCGGCUUAUGAGCUUGUUGGUGGGGUAGUGGCUUACCAAGGCUUUGACGGGUAGCCGGCCUGAGAGGGUGACCGGCGACAUUGGGACUGAGAUACGGCGCAGACUCCUACGGGAGGCAGCAGUGGGGAAUAUUGCACAAUGGGCGGAAGCCUGAUGCAGCAACGCCGCGUGCGGGAUGACGGCCUUCGGGGUGUAAACCGCUUUCGCCUGUGACGAAGCGUGAGUGACGGUAAUGGGUAAAGAAGCACCGGCUAACUACGUG